UACAGAGGGUGCGAGCGUUAAUCGGAAUUACUGGGCGUAAAGCGCACGUAGGCGGCUUGGUAUGUCGGGUGUGAAAUCCCCGGGCUCAACCUGGGAACUGCAUCCGAAACUGCCUUGCUCGAGUAUGGGAGAGGGAAGUGGAAUUUCCGGUGUAGCGGUGAAAUGCGUAGAUAUCGGAAGGAACAUCAGUGGCGAAGGCGACUUCCUGGACCAAUACUGACGCUCAGGUGCGAAAGCGUGGGGAUCAAACAGG
Molecule: ribosomal RNA, 253 nt
Filed under: uncultured bacterium
Lineage: Bacteria
Description: partial 16S ribosomal RNA
Rfam family: Bacterial small subunit ribosomal RNA
Source: RNAcentral